RNAcentral lists this ribosomal RNA (443 nucleotides) under uncultured bacterium. RNAcentral describes it as "partial 16S ribosomal RNA". It matches the Rfam family "Bacterial small subunit ribosomal RNA", at positions 338 to 795 of the family's 1533-position model. The record is from RNAcentral.
CCUACGGGUGGCAGCAGUGGGGAAUAUUGGACAAUGGGCGCAAGCCUGACCCAGCAACGCCGCGUGAGGGAAGAAGGCUUUCGGGUUGUAAACUUCUUUUCUGAGGGACGAAAAAGGUGGCGGUACCUCAGGAAUAAGCCACGGCUAACUACGUGCCAGCAGCUGCGGUAAUACGUAGGUGGCAAGCGUUAUCCGGAUUUAUUGGGUGUAAAGGGCGUGUAGGCGGGAAAGCAAGUCAGAGGUGAAAACUCAGGGCUCAACCCUGAGCCUGCAUUUGAAACUGUUUUUCUUGAGUGCUGGAGAGGCAAUCGGAAUUCCGGGUGUAGCGGUGAAAUGCGUAGAUAUAAGGAGGAACACCAGUGGCGAAGGCGGAUUGCUGGACAGUAACUGACGCUGAGGCGCGAAAGCGUGGGGAGCAAACAGGAUUAGAUACCCUGGUAGUC